ACUCUAAUGGGACUGCCGGUGACAAACCGGAGGAAGGUGGGGAUGACGUCAAGUCCUCAUGGCCCUUAUAGGUGGGGCUACACACGUCAUACAAUGGCCGGUACAGAGGGUAGCCAACCCGCGAGGGGAGCCAAUCCCACAAAGCCGGUCGUAGUCCGGAUCGCAGUCUGCAACUCGACUGCGUGAAGUCGGAAUCGCUAGUAAUCGCGGAUCAGCAUGUCGCGGUGAAUACGUUCCCGGGUCUU
This 245-nucleotide ribosomal RNA is filed under the name uncultured Allobrachymonas sp. RNAcentral describes it as "uncultured Brachymonas sp. partial 16S ribosomal RNA". It matches the Rfam family "Bacterial small subunit ribosomal RNA", at positions 1137 to 1382 of the family's 1533-position model. The record is from RNAcentral. Lineage: Bacteria; Pseudomonadati; Pseudomonadota; Betaproteobacteria; Burkholderiales; Comamonadaceae.